This 461-nucleotide small RNA is filed under the name Mycoplasmoides pneumoniae M129. RNAcentral's name for it is "Mycoplasma pneumoniae M129 ncRNA". Lineage: Bacteria; Bacillati; Mycoplasmatota; Mycoplasmoidales; Mycoplasmoidaceae. The record is from RNAcentral.
GUUAUGGGCAAACCCUAAGUUAGUAAUGUAGUUAAACAAGGCAUCAAACCACACGUAAAUCGUUUGCUUGUUGUCAAAGGGUACGGGAAUUCCCCAAGUCACGUUUUGCCGUGUUAAAGCUAAAUCAUUUAAACCCCCAUCCAAGAAGUUGUUCUUUAACUCAGCGGCUCUGGAUUCAGGGGUAAUGUUGAGCUUGUUUGUCGCAAUCAUUUCCCCAAUCCAGUCCUUACUAUCUUUAAAGGCAAUAAAUAAAGAUGGUUCUUGGACUAGGGUUAACUGGUGACCUAUUUCACACAACAUUGUUUGUUUAUCAUAAGUGAAAUAGUUCUGCUCACACUCGACACAGUAAGCACCCUCCCAGUUACUUUGGUAAAUUAACCCCUUGUCAUAAAGUAGUUGAAAGGCAUGUUGAACUUGGGCUUUAUGACUAAGAUCAGUGGUGCGGAUAAAGUGGUCAAAGU